AGUGAACGCUGGCGGUAGGCCUAACACAUGCAAGUCGAACGGCAGCACAGUAAGAGCUUGCUCUUACGGGUGGCGAGUGGCGGACGGGUGAGGAAUACAUCGGAAUCUACUUUUUCGUGGGGGAUAACGUAGGGAAACUUACGCUAAUACCGCAUACGACCUACGGGUGAAAGCAGGGGAUCUUCGGACCUUGCGCGAUUGAAUGAGCCGAUGUCGGAUUAGCUAGUUGGCGGGGUAAAGGCCCACCAAGGCGACGAUCCGUAGCUGGUCUGAGAGGAUGAUCAGCCACACGGUAACUGAGACACGGUCCAGACUCCUACGGGAGGCAGCAGUGGGGAAUAUUGGACAAUGGGCGCAAGCCUGAUCCAGCCAUACCGCGUGGGUGAAGAAGGCCUUCGGGUUGUAAAGCCCUUUUGUUGGGAAAGAAAAGCAGCAGGUUAAUACCCCGCUGUUCUGACGGUACCCAAAGAAUAAGCACCGGCUAACUUCGUG
RNAcentral lists this ribosomal RNA (492 nucleotides) under uncultured bacterium. RNAcentral's name for it is "partial 16S ribosomal RNA". It matches the Rfam family "Bacterial small subunit ribosomal RNA", at positions 29 to 507 of the family's 1533-position model. The record is from RNAcentral.